AUUGAACGCUGGCGGCAUGCCUUACACAUGCAAGUCGAACGGCAGCAUGGAGAGCUUGCUCUCUGAUGGCGAGUGGCGAACGGGUGAGUAAAGCAUCGGAACGUACCGUGUAGUGGGGGAUAACGUAGCGAAAGUUACGCUAAUACCGCAUACGCACUGAGGUGGAAAGCAGGGGAUCGUAAGACCUUGCGCUAUACGAGCUGCCGAUGUCAGAUUAGCUAGUUGGUAGGGUAAAGGCCUACCAAGGCGACGAUCUGUAGCGGGUCUGAGAGGAUGAUCCGCCACACUGGGACUGAGACACGGCCCAGACUCCUACGGGAGGCAGCAGUGGGGAAUUUUGGACAAUGGGGGCAACCCUGAUCCAGCCAUGCCGCGUGAGUGAAGAAGGCCUUCGGGUUGUAAAGCUCUUUCGGCCGGGAAGAAAUCGCACAGGCUAAUACCCUGUGUGGAUGACGGUACCGGCAUAAGAAGCACCGGCUAACUACGUG
RNAcentral lists this ribosomal RNA (488 nucleotides) under uncultured bacterium. RNAcentral describes it as "partial 16S ribosomal RNA". It matches the Rfam family "Bacterial small subunit ribosomal RNA", at positions 30 to 507 of the family's 1533-position model. The record is from RNAcentral.